Lutra lutra (Eurasian river otter) is the source of this 3977-nucleotide RNA transcript. It is a transcript of the gene named thrombospondin 3, with no coding region annotated. The transcript is spliced from 23 exons. Lineage: Eukaryota; Metazoa; Chordata; Mammalia; Carnivora; Mustelidae. The record is from RefSeq and is a predicted model, not a curated record.
GUCGGGCUGGGGCCUGGGUGGGGGAGGGGGUGGGGCUCGCGGGCCGUUGCCGUGGUAACGGGAACGGAGGCGCCCCUCCGCUUCGUCCGGGUCACGGCCUGCCCACCAGUACCCGUCCCCCCCCCCCCCCAGUCUUCCCAGUCUGGCCCCGGCCCCUGGCCUGUCCCCUGGUUUACUCCUGGCCCCGCUGGCUCUUUGCUCGUUCCUGAUUCCUUCCCUCCGACCCGUUCGCUGACCGCUGUGUCGGACGGGCCCUCCAGCUCCCAGCGGAGGCCUUCACGUUUUCCCAGGACGGAGGCACGUGUCAGGGGACCCCCACCAGUAAAGAGCACUUGCUUCGUCGGGGCAGCAAAGUUCAGGCCAUGUGGGCAUCCCCUGGGCACAACAGCGAGCUAGUUUCCACCACUCCCUUGGCAUCCCUUCCUGCCAAGCUGUGGGAUAAUGCGCACUGCCUGGCACUGCCCCUGCCAGGGGUUCCUGCCUUCUGCGACCGCGACGUACAGAAAACAGUAGCAUUCGGUAGUGGCCCCCCUCAGCGAGAGGGCAGGAGGGAGGGAGGCACCUGGGAGAGAGGACCGUUAGGGAGAGGCAGGAGGCAGGAAGGCCUUCAGACUCUUCCCCAGCGCCCUGGAUCACGGAGCUGGGGAUGCCUCCAGGCUGAUUAGCGGCUCUUUGUUUCAGCCCCCCCUCACCCGCCUGCUGGCCCCCCUCUUCAACUCCCCCUUCCAGUCCCUCCGCCCCCCGCUCCUGCUCUCUCCGCCUAGCCUUUUCCCCUCCCAGCCGCCUGCCUGCCAGGGGUAGUGAGCCAGCUGAGCGGCAUGGAGACGCAGAAACUUCGGGGGGCCCUGGCUCUUCUCCUCCUCUGCACUUUGGCAUCUGCCAGUCAGGACCUGCAGGUGAUUGACCUGCUGACUGUGGGCGAGUCUCGGCAGAUGACCGCUGUGGCGGAGAAGAUCCGGGCAGCCCUGCUCACUGCUGCUGACAUCUACCUCUUGUCCACCUUCCGCCUGCCCCCCAAGCAGGGUGGUGUCCUCUUUGGCCUCUACUCUCGCCAGGACAACACACGAUGGCUGGAGGUCUCAGUUGUGGGCAAAAUUAACAAAGUGCUGGUGCGGUACCAGCGGGAGGACGGCAGAGUCCACGCCGUGCACCUACAGCAGGCGGGCCUGGCCGACGGGCGCACGCACACGGCUCUCCUGCGGCUCCGCGGUCCCGCCCGACCCAGCCCUGCCCUGCAGCUCUACGUGGACUGCAAACUGGGAGACCAGCACUCUGGGCUCCCUGCAUUGGCCCCCAUUCCUCCUGCCGAGGUUGACGGGCUGGAGGUUCGGACUGGACAGAAGGCAUAUUUGAGGAUGCAGGGCUUCGUGGAAUCUAUGAAAAUGAUUCUGGGCGGGUCCAUGGCCCGGGUGGGGGCCCUGAGUGAGUGUCCAUUCCAGGGGGACGAGUCCAUCCACAGUGCAGUGGCCAGCGCACUCCACUCCAUCCUAGGGGAGCAGACCAAGGCGCUGGUCACCCAGCUCACCCUCUUCAACCAGAUCCUGGUGGAGCUGCGCGAUGAUAUCCGAGACCAGGUGAAGGAGAUGUCUCUGAUCCGAAACGCCAUCAUGGAGUGUCAGGUGUGCGGCUUCCACGAGCAGCGUUCCCACUGCAGCCCCAACCCCUGCUUCCGAGGCGUGGACUGCAUGGAAGUGUACGAGUACCCCGGCUACCGCUGUGGGCCCUGCCCCCCAGGCCUGCAGGGCAACGGCACUCACUGUGUGGACAUCGAUGAGUGUGCUCACGCUGACCCCUGCUUCCCUGGGGCCAGCUGCAUCAACACUGUGCCUGGCUUCCACUGUGAAGCCUGUCCUCGCGGCUAUAAGGGCACUCGGGUGUCCGGUGUGGGCAUCGACUACGCCCGCGCCAGCAAACAGGUCUGCAAUGAUGUGGACGAAUGCAACGACGGGAACAACGGUGGCUGUGACCCAAACUCCAUCUGCACCAACACCGUGGGCUCUUUCAAGUGUGGCCCCUGUCGCCUGGGCUUCCUGGGGAACCAGAGCCAGGGCUGCCUCCCAGCCCGCACCUGCCACAGCCCAGCCCACAGCCCCUGCCACGUCCACGCGCACUGUCUCUUUGAGCGCAACGGAGCAGUGUCCUGCGUGUGUAACGUGGGCUGGGCUGGGAACGGGAAUGUAUGUGGGACCGACACGGACAUCGAUGGCUACCCGGACCAGGCCCUGCCGUGCAUGGACAACAACAAGCACUGCAAGCAGGACAAUUGCCUUUUGACACCCAACUCUGGGCAGGAAGACGCCGACAACGACGGUGUGGGGGACCAGUGUGAUGACGACGCUGAUGGGGAUGGGAUCAAGAACGUGGAGGACAACUGCCGACUGUUCCCCAACAAGGACCAGCAAAACUCUGACACAGACUCUUUUGGGGAUGCUUGUGACAACUGCCCCAACGUCCCCAACAAUGACCAGAAGGACACAGACAGCAACGGGGAAGGGGACGCAUGUGACAAUGAUGUGGAUGGAGAUGGCAUCCCCAACGGACUGGACAAUUGCCCUAAGGUCCCUAACCCACUGCAGACAGACAGGGAUGAGGACGGGGUGGGAGAUGCCUGUGACAGCUGCCCUGAAAUGAGCAAUCCUACUCAGACAGAUGCCGACAGUGACCUGGUGGGGGAUGUCUGUGACACCAACGAGGACAGCGAUGGGGAUGGACAUCAGGACACCAAGGACAACUGCCCAGAACUGCCAAACAGCUCCCAGCUGGACUCAGACAAUGAUGGACUCGGAGACGAGUGUGAUGGGGAUGACGACAAUGACGGGGUCCCAGACUACAUGCCUCCAGGUCCUGACAACUGUCGCCUUGUACCCAACCCCAAUCAGAAGGACUCAGACGGCAAUGGCGUUGGCGAUGUGUGUGAGGAUGACUUCGACAAUGACGCAGUAGCCGACCCCCUGGACGUGUGCCCUGAGAGUGCAGAGGUGACCUUAACGGAUUUCCGGGCCUAUCAGACCGUCGUCUUGGACCCUGAGGGAGAUGCUCAGAUUGACCCAAACUGGGUUGUGCUCAACCAGGGCAUGGAAAUCGUUCAGACCAUGAACAGUGACCCUGGCUUGGCGGUCGGCUACACGGCCUUCAACGGUGUGGACUUUGAAGGCACCUUUCACGUGAACACGGUGACUGAUGACGACUACGCAGGCUUCCUUUUCAGCUAUCAGGACAGCGGCCGCUUCUACGUGGUCAUGUGGAAGCAGACGGAGCAGACCUACUGGCAGGCCACACCCUUCCGGGCUGUCGCGCAGCCAGGGCUGCAGCUCAAGGCGGUGACAUCUGUGUCAGGCCCGGGUGAGCACCUCCGGAAUGCCCUGUGGCAUACUGGCCACACCCCCGAUCAGGUCCGGCUGCUGUGGACUGACCCCCGAAACGUGGGCUGGCGGGACAAGACUUCCUACCGCUGGCAGCUGCUGCACCGGCCUCAAGUGGGCUACAUCCGCACCCACGGACGCCCCUGUCCUGGGCAGGGUGAAGCUCUAUGAGGGUCCUCAGCUGGUGGCGGACUCUGGGGUGGUCAUUGACACAGCCAUGCGGGGAGGCCGUCUGGGCGUAUUCUGCUUCUCUCAAGAAAACAUCAUUUGGUCCAAUCUCCAGUAUCGAUGCAAUGACACGGUGCCCGAGGACUUUGAGCCAUUCCGGAGGCAGCUGCUCCAGGGAAGGGUGUGAAGAGGCGGCCCCCGAGGGAUUCCGAAUCCCGAUUUUAGACCCUCUGGCCUUGGGAUCCAUCCUGGAGACCCUGGGGUCUAACUUACAGCCACUCAAGCAAACACAGACCCUUCUCCAGCACCCACAGGAGUUCCGCCCCAGAAGGGUGGUGACCCCACGGUUCAGGAGUUGGGACAUUUUCAAGGGCUGCUAUUCUCAGGCACUAACCCCAGGAAAGAGAACAGCACGUUGCCAUAAAGGUCCGGUGGUUUUCUAAGCUA